UCCGAGUUGACCCCGGCAGUCUCCUAUGAGUCCCCGACAUUACUCGCUGGCAACAUAGGACGAGGGUUGCGCUCGUUGCGGGACUUAACCCAACAUCUCACGACACGAGCUGACGACAACCAUGCACCACCUGUAAACCGGCCGCAAGCGGGGCGCCUGUUUCCAGGCGUUACCGGUCCAUGUCAAGCCUUGGUAAGGUUCUUCGCGUUGCAUCGAAUUAAUCCGCAUGCUCCGCCGCUUGUGCGGGCCCCCGUCAAUUCCUUUGAGUUUUAGCCUUGCGGCCGUACUCCCCAGGCGGGGCACUUAAUGCGUUAGCUGCGGCGCGGAAACCGUGGAAUGGCCCCCACACCUAGUGCCCAACGUUUACGGCAUGGACUAC
Molecule: unclassified non-coding RNA, 379 nt
Filed under: uncultured Micrococcales bacterium
Lineage: Bacteria; Bacillati; Actinomycetota; Actinomycetes; Micrococcales
Description: contains 16S-23S intergenic spacer region
Source: RNAcentral